Alexandromys fortis (reed vole) is the source of this 557-nucleotide long non-coding RNA. RefSeq lists it as uncharacterized. The record is from RefSeq and is a predicted model, not a curated record. NCBI's taxonomy places the organism in Eukaryota, Metazoa, Chordata, Mammalia, Rodentia, Cricetidae. The transcript has 3 exons.
UUGACUGGAUGCAGACAGACUACUCCAUCCCUAUGUUCAGUACAGUAGAGUGCAUGAGCAUUCUCAUCUGCCUUCCUCCCCUCUCCAUGAGCAUUCUCUCCCCUUACUCUGCCUUCUAGUAGAACAGGGGAGAAAACUGUGAACUCUCCAUACAGAACCAGCUCCUGGAGAAGAACCAAGUGUGGUGUGGUCUUGUCAGUCUGUUACCUAGCAAGAGUGACAAGAUCAUGUGGGACUCACCAGGCUUGGAGAACAGUUGCAUUCUCUCCAGCAAUGGAGAAGCGUGUCCCUUUGCUCACAGACUACCCACGUGGAGAGCUGAGAGGAGGUGACUGCUAUGUGAGAAACCUGCAGUGAGCAUUUCCUGAAAUCAGGACAGUUACAUGCUCAGCCUGGACCCUCUGCCUGUCUUUGUCUUUGAAGGUAAUAGAACUCUCAGCUACUUCUCCAACACCAUGUCUGCCUGCGUGCCACCAUGCUCCCUGCCGUGAUGGUAACAGACCAACCUCAGAACGUAUAAGCAAGGCACGUGAAUGCUUUCUUUGAUAAGAGUGGCC